CUCUACCUCCGUGUGCGUCGUCGACGAGUCACGAGAGGUUCGAUUACUGGCUCAGAACGAACGCUGGCGGCAGGCUUAACACAUGCAAGUUGAACGGGAAUUGAUGGUAGCUUGCUAUCAUUGAGGAGAGUAGCGCACUGGUGAGUAACACGUGGGAACAUGCCUUUUGGUGGGGGACAACAGAGGGAAACUUCUGCUAAUACCGCAUAAGCCCUAAGGGGGAAAGAUUUAUUGCCGAAAGAUUGGCCCGCGGAAGAUUAGGUAGUUGGUGGGGUAAAGGCCUACCAAGCCGACGAUCUAUAGCUGGUCUGAGAGGACGAGCAGCCACAUUGGAACUGAGACACGGUCCAGACUCCUACGGGAGGCAGCAGUGAGGAAUAUUGGGCAAUGGAGGAAACUCUGACCCAGCCCAUGCCGCGUGAGUGAAGAAGGUUUUCGAAUUGUAAAGCUCUUUCGGAUGUGACGAUGAUGACGGUAGCAUCUAAAGAAGCCCCGGCAAACUUCGUGCCAGCAGCGGC
RNAcentral lists this ribosomal RNA (518 nucleotides) under uncultured bacterium. Its description in RNAcentral is "bacterial SSU rRNA". It matches the Rfam family "Bacterial small subunit ribosomal RNA", at positions 1 to 518 of the family's 1533-position model. The record is from RNAcentral.